UAGCCAGCCAGCUAGGAGCAGAGCCAGGGA
This 30-nucleotide non-coding RNA is filed under the name Homo sapiens (human). The record is from RNAcentral. Lineage: Eukaryota; Metazoa; Chordata; Mammalia; Primates; Hominidae.